Molecule: long non-coding RNA, 1171 nt
Organism: Falco peregrinus (peregrine falcon)
Lineage: Eukaryota; Metazoa; Chordata; Aves; Falconiformes; Falconidae
Exons: 3
Source: RefSeq, a predicted model, not a curated record
GAGGUGUUCAUGCUCCAUAAAUGUGUACGUUAUGAACUGUGGGACCAUCUUCAGCUUGGGCAGUACAGUGAUGCUUCAGACAAGACUGGAAGCAGAAGCAGAGUGGCGCAGGAAUCCAUGGGACGUGACUUCUGCACUUUUGGUGGCCAUCAAGAACUAUUAGGCUGUGACUGUUCCGGAGUAAGCACAGAUUUUACAACUGCACUGCUCCAUGGAGCGCAAGGGAGGCGUGUCUUAUACCAGCUGAGGAUCUGUCUUCAGAUACAACCAGGCAGUGCAGAAUGUGCCUGGGGCAGGCUUCCACAGGGAUCCGGCCUGGCAUUCCGGGCAAUCUGCAGCUUGUCACCCAGUACAGAUUGUUUGGCCUGUAUGAUGCAGGUAAGUGCUCACACAUCUGAAUCUCCCGCUUCUAGAUCAUGUGGUGUUGGCUCAUGGUGGCAUAAGGUUGAUAGCUUAUUUGUUGCAGAUAUGCUGCAAUAACAAAGCAACACUCAAUUUUUACUUAAAAUAGGAACACAGCUGUGAAUCUGGAUCUCCUUACCAUCAGGCAAUGCCUAGUGAAAGAAAAGAUAGAUUUUUUUUUUUUUUUUAAUGGGAAAAGUAACAGGCACUAAAAAGUAACUACUCUGCUUCAUCAGCUGGGAAUGGAGUUGGACUGUGAGUGCUGAGGAGUCCCCAGUGCAUCCUGAAUGCUGCUGGCUCUGGUGAUGCCAGAGAGUGGACAGAUGAAAAGGAUGCAAGAGACUGUCCCUGGAGAGAAAACAAGGCAGCGCUUACCUGCCUGGCAGGGAGCAGCUAUUCCACUGCCGAGAGGGAGCCUUUACAGCUUACAUGACUUGUGUGUGCGCACGUAUGAUACAAAAUACAGUCCUGUGUGCAGCAGGAGGUAUCUUACAGCUAUUGCAACUCUUGUGAUUUCCAGAUCGUACAUGGUUGUGCGUGGGUUCAUUUUUUAAAAAAGUAAAUUACCUACCAGCUCAGACUGAGAUCUGAUGUAAACUGCAAAAUUGCUAGUAACAAAGGUUCAAGCAAACUUUUCGCCUUGGUGACAUCUUUACAACCUGCUGCUUGAACACUUUUAACUGGGUGUAGGUGGCUAUGUAAUUGGAAUUUUCUGCUGAUGAAAUGAAGGGAGGCAUCUAGUUUAGUGCCCCUUUCUUUAACCCAACAA